This 453-nucleotide ribosomal RNA is filed under the name uncultured microorganism. Its description in RNAcentral is "bacterial SSU rRNA". It matches the Rfam family "Archaeal small subunit ribosomal RNA", at positions 330 to 745 of the family's 1478-position model. The record is from RNAcentral.
GUGCAGCAGUCGCGAAACCACCGCAAUGCUCGAAAGAGCGACGGGGACUCCAAGUGCCUACGCUCAGCGUAGGCUGUUCCCGAGCCUAAAAGCUCGGGGAGUAAGGGCUGGGUAAGACGGGUGCCAGCCGCCGCGGUAAUACCCGCAGCCCGAGUGGUGGCCGCUAUUAUUGGGCCUAAAGCGUCCGUAGCCGGCUCGGUAAAUGCCUGGGUAAAUCGUCUGGCCCAACCAGACGAAUUCCGGGUAGACUGCCGGGCUAGGGACCGGAGGAGGGAGAGGGUACUCCAGGGGUAGGGUGAAAUCAGCAAGGUGAGUUGCUGAUGUAACUUGCCUUGCAAGUCACAAUCCUGUAAUCCCUGGAGGACCACCGGUGGCGAAGGCGCUCUCCUAGGACGGGUCCGACGGUGAGGGACGAAAGCCAGGGGAGCAAACCGGAUUAGAUACCCGUGUAGU